AACGGCUGGCGGAGGGGUUGGAGCAGUGGGCGGAAAAGAAGCAAUGGGGGACAUGAAGAGACUUCGCUUGCCAAUGGGAUCUGUCUUCUAGUCCGGUUUGCCACAACCAAGAAAGUUUAAGCUCAACAAAGUGAAGACCAGACAGUUGAAUGGGAAAAUGAAAAGGAGUGUGAACUAUCCUACAGGAGACAAGAAAAAAUGAGGCAGAGGAAGUGCCUUCGAACAACGAGCAAGGAGCAAGGAAAGAAAGAAAAAAAUGAGAAUACCAGCUCGACAGUCCAGAAAUGCCUGGUAUUUGUGAGGUUUAAUUCCCAGUACUGGAGAAGUUUAAAUUAAAAUAUGUAUGUACAAGGAA
Molecule: long non-coding RNA, 355 nt
Filed under: Mus musculus (house mouse)
Lineage: Eukaryota; Metazoa; Chordata; Mammalia; Rodentia; Muridae
Description: predicted gene 5563, transcript variant 3 (Gm5563)
Source: RNAcentral